CUACGGGGCGCUCCAGUCGAGAAUAUUCCACAAUGGGCGAAAGCCUGAUGGAGCGACGCCGCGUGUGGGAAGAAGGUUUUAGGAUUGUAAACCACUUUUCUUAGGGAGCAAUUUCGAUGAGAGUACCUAAGGAAUAAGAGGCUACUAACUCUGUGCCAGCAGUAGCGGUAAUACAGAGGCCUCAAGCGUUAUCCGGAUUUAUUGGGCGUAAAGCGUAUGUAGGCGGUUUGAUUAGUCAGGUGUCAAAGCCCGGGGCUCAACCCCGGAAAGGCAUUUGAAACGGUCAAACUAGAGAAUAUAAGAGAUGACUGGAAUUCAUGGUGUAGUAGUGAAAUGCGUUGAUAUCAUGAGGAACACUCAAGGCGAAGGCAAGUCAUUGGUGUAUUUCUGACGCUGGGAUACGAAAGCGUGGGGAGCGAAUGGGAUUAGAUACCCGAGUAGUC
RNAcentral lists this ribosomal RNA (443 nucleotides) under uncultured bacterium. RNAcentral describes it as "partial 16S ribosomal RNA". It matches the Rfam family "Bacterial small subunit ribosomal RNA", at positions 339 to 795 of the family's 1533-position model. The record is from RNAcentral.